AGGCGGCCUAGUGGUUAGAGCGACAGGCGGUCUAGUGGUUAGAGAGGCAGGCGGCCUAGUGGUUAGAGUGUUGUGGCAGUAACCGAAAGCUUGCUGGAUCAAAUCCCAGAGCUGACAAGGGAAAAAGUUGUUUUUCUGCCCCUGAGAAAGGCAGUUAACUCAUUGUUCCCCGGACGACGUGGGUGUUGAGUACAGCAGCCCCCCGUACCUCUGAUUCAGAGGGUUUGGGUUCAAUACGGGAGACACAUUUCAGUUGAAUACAUUCAGUUGGACAACUAACUAUUCCUUAAAAUGAGGGACAGACCUAAAGGAAUCACUAAUCACAAUAAAUAAUCAUCUUCAGAAAUGACUGCCAAAGGAACAAAAUAACUGGGACUUUCAACUGGACGCAAAAGACACUGAUUUUGUGGAACGGCCCAGCUCCUCUAUUACAGAGGACACUACAGGUGUACUCCACAGUGGACAGAGGACACUACAGGUGUACUCCACAGUGGACAGAGGACACUACAGGUGUACUCCACAGUGGACAGAGGACACUACAGGUGUACUCCACAGUGGACAGAGGACACUACAGGUGUACUCCACAGUGGACAGAGGACACUACAGGUGUACUCCACAGUGGACAGAGGACACUACAGGUGUACUCCACAGUGGACAGAGGACACUACAGGUGUACUCCACAGUGGACAGAGGACACUACAGGUGUACUCCACAGAGGACACUACAGGUGUACUCCACAGUGGACAGAGGACACUACAGGUGUACUCCACAGUGGACAGAGGACACUACAGGUGUACUCCACAGUGGACAGAGGACACUACAGGUGUACUCCACAGUGGACAGAGGACACUACAGGUGUACUCCACAGUGGACAGAGGACACUAUACAGGUGCACUUCAAGAUGAGCCUUGAAAGGUGUGUGAUUCUGAGUCUGAGGAGAGGAGAGACUGGUGUGAGGACUAGUAUCUAACUGGUAUCUGUGUGAGGAGAGGAGAGACUGGUGUGAGGACUAGUAUCUAACUGGUAUCUGUGUGAGGAGAGGAGAGACUGGUGUGAGGACUGGUAUCUAACUGGUACCUGUGUGAGGACUGGUAUC
Long non-coding RNA from Oncorhynchus tshawytscha (Chinook salmon), 1096 nucleotides. RefSeq lists it as uncharacterized. The transcript is spliced from 2 exons. Lineage: Eukaryota; Metazoa; Chordata; Actinopteri; Salmoniformes; Salmonidae. The record is from RefSeq and is a predicted model, not a curated record.